RNAcentral lists this ribosomal RNA (494 nucleotides) under uncultured bacterium. RNAcentral describes it as "partial 16S ribosomal RNA". It matches the Rfam family "Bacterial small subunit ribosomal RNA", at positions 29 to 507 of the family's 1533-position model. The record is from RNAcentral.
AUGAACGCUGGCGGCGUGCUUAACACAUGCAAGUCGAACGAAGCACCUCUCCCGAAGAUUGACACAGCUUGCUGUAGAUUGAUUCAUUUGAGGUGACUGAGUGGCGGACGGGUGAGUAACGCGUGGGUAACCUGCCUCAUAGAGGGGGACAACAGUUGGAAACGACUGCUAAUACCGCAUAGUAAGAAGAAUUCGCAUGUUUUCUUCUUGAAAGAUUUAUCGCUAUGAGAUGGACCCGCGUCUGAUUAGCUAGUUGGUAAGGUAACGGCUUACCAAGGCGACGAUCAGUAGCCGGCCUGAGAGAGUGAACGGCCACAUUGGGACUGAGACACGGCCCAAACUCCUACGGGAGGCAGCAGUGGGGAAUAUUGCACAAUGGGGGAAACCCUGAUGCAGCGACGCCGCGUGAGUGAAGAAGUAUUUCGGUAUGUAAAGCUCUAUCAGCAGGGAAGAUAAUGACGGUACCUGACUAAGAAGCCCCGGCUAACUACGUG